AAGGUUUAUUUCUUUGGAGAUUCUCACUGAGUUCAAUAUUGGAAAUUGCAGCCAAAUACUAUCAGAAAAGGAGGCAAAGUCUCCAAAUCUAUUAAUUUAUCCUCCUCCAUACAUUCAUUAGCUCUUAUAUUAUGGAAACACUCUAUUCCGAUAAGGAGGAGUAUCUCAAGUUAAAAGUAUGCAGAUAUUUGUCUCUACUCCAAUUCUUAAUCAAGCCCUUAAAAUGUCUUCCACAGAACAUCAUCGUACAGAAUUGGAGAUAAAAGAAGUGCAUAUUCUUUCAUUCUCAGAUAUGA
Molecule: long non-coding RNA, 296 nt
Filed under: Elaeis guineensis (African oil palm)
Lineage: Eukaryota; Viridiplantae; Streptophyta; Magnoliopsida; Arecales; Arecaceae
Description: long non-coding RNA (EGUI_LNC003104)
Source: RNAcentral